UGAUAUUCUGAUGUCCAACGAUUCAAUAGAGACGACGUCUACACGGCCUUGCAUGUGCUUAAUUCAGCAGUCCAUUAAUCUGCUAACGGGAUGAAAGUAUACUUGGCGAAAUGGAAGCUGCUUACAUCGGCUGUGGAUCGUCCGAGUUUUUUCAUUUCGAUUGGUCAAUCAACAUGGAGGCUUCUGAUUAGUUUCGAUAAACCAUGCUGUCUUCUUGUUACGACUCCCAUAUGGCCCCC
This 239-nucleotide long non-coding RNA is filed under the name Setaria viridis. RNAcentral describes it as "long non-coding RNA (SVIR_LNC009539)". Lineage: Eukaryota; Viridiplantae; Streptophyta; Magnoliopsida; Poales; Poaceae. The record is from RNAcentral.